AGGUAACCGUACCGGAAGGUGCGGCUGGAUCACCUCCUUUCUAAGGAGCACCAUUUACAUGCCCUGAUCUGAGGGUUUCCCCCAUCCCCGCUAAAGAGUGGGAUUCGGUGGUUGGGAUUGUCGCCGGCGCCUGUAGUGGGCUUGUCCGGCGGGUGCAUACAACAAACGUUCGUCCCGGUGGAAAGCCGUGGGGCGUAAGAGAUUGCCAGACACACUGUUGGGUCCUGAGACAACAGGCCCGUUCGCUUCCCCUCUGUGUGGGGUGGGAGACGCCCCGGUUGCGGGGUGGGGGUUGUUGUUGCCUCACCGGUUUUGGUGGUGGGGUGUGGUGUUUGAUUCGUGGAUAGUGGUUGCGAGCAUCUAACGCGCGCAGAAUGUUGGCCCGGAGGCUUCGGUUUCUGGGUUGCUUGUUCUGUGGGUGUUGAUGUGCAAUUUUGA
Molecule: unclassified non-coding RNA, 438 nt
Filed under: Mycobacterium sp. FI05038
Lineage: Bacteria; Bacillati; Actinomycetota; Actinomycetes; Mycobacteriales; Mycobacteriaceae
Description: partial 16S-23S intergenic spacer
Source: RNAcentral